Molecule: ribosomal RNA, 254 nt
Filed under: uncultured bacterium
Lineage: Bacteria
Description: partial 16S ribosomal RNA
Rfam family: Bacterial small subunit ribosomal RNA
Source: RNAcentral
UACGGGGGGAGCAAGCGUUGUUCGGAUUUACUGGGCGUAAAGGGCGCGUAGGCGGCCACUGCAAGUCAGUUGUGAAAUCUCCGGGCUUAACCCGGAAAGGUCAACUGAUACUGCAGGGCUCGAGUUCGGUAGGGGAGACUGGAAUUCCUGGUGUAGCGGUGAAAUGCGCAGAUAUCAGGAGGAACACCGGUGGCGAAGGCGGGUCUCUGGGCCGAUACUGACGCUGAGACACGAAAGCGUGGGUAGCAAACAGG